RNAcentral lists this unclassified non-coding RNA (313 nucleotides) under Zea mays. RNAcentral describes it as "misc RNA Zm00001eb405070". The record is from RNAcentral. Lineage: Eukaryota; Viridiplantae; Streptophyta; Magnoliopsida; Poales; Poaceae.
CCGCCAUUGGGGAAGUACAAGUUGGACGGGCUCCCUCGGCCGCCGCCGCCGCCGCCGCCGUUCCCUUUCCUCGCCUCACCGGCGGCCACCGCGGCAGCCGCCAUCUCCUGGCCCUGGUACAUGAGCGUGGAGUUCAUCGUCAGGCUCACCAAGCUGUCGUCGGCGUCGCUCCUGGGGAAGUUGCCGCCGCCGCCGCCGUCGCUUCCCCCGGCGUCGUCGCCGGCGGCGUCGACGUCGCGCGUGGUCACCAUCACCGCGGACUGCACGAGCUCAAGGCAGAGCCUGAGCUUGUUGGGCUCGAUGUGCGUGAGCC